Molecule: ribosomal RNA, 491 nt
Filed under: uncultured bacterium
Lineage: Bacteria
Description: partial 16S ribosomal RNA
Rfam family: Bacterial small subunit ribosomal RNA
Source: RNAcentral
AGUGAACGCUGGCGGUAGGCCUAACACAUGCAAGUCGAACGGCAGCACAGACCGAGCUGGCUCUUCUAGCAGGCGAGUGGAGGACGGGCGCGGAAACAAUCGGUCUCUACCUUUACGAGCGGGAUAACGACGGGAAACCUACGCAAAUACCGCAUACGACCAUCGGCUGGAAGCAGGGGAUCUUCGGACCUUGCGCGAUCGAAUGAGCCGAUGUCGGAUUAGCCAGUUGGCGGGGGAACGGCCUACCAAGGCGACGAUCCGUAGCUGGUCUGAGAGGAUGAUUAGCCACUCUGGAGCUGACACACGCUCCAGACUCCUACGGGAGGCAGCAGUGGGAAAUGUUGCACAAGCGUCGCAAGCCUGAUCCAGCCACGCCGCGUGGGCUAAGAAGGCCUUCGGGUUGUACAGCCCUUUUGUUCGGACAGAACAGCAGCAGCUUAAUUCCCCGCUGUUCUGACGGUCCCCAAAGAAUGAGCACCGACUAUCUUCUU